CAAUAGCGUAUAUUAAAGUUGUUGCAGUUAAAAAGCUCGUAGUUGGAUUUCUGGUCUGAAGGUCCGGUCCGCUUGCUUUGCGAGUGUGUACUUGUGAUGUUUGGUCCAUUUUUUGCGAGAGUGUUGGCCUGCCAUUAAGUUGGUGGGUUUUCAAUCUUGCAUCGUUUACUGUGAAAAAAUUAGAGUGUUUAAAGCAGGCGUUUGCCUUGAAUACAUUAGCAUGGAAUAAUAAGAUAUGACUUUGGUGGUCUAUUUUGUUGGUUUGCACACCAGAGUAAUGAUUAAUAGGGACAGUUGGGGGUAUUUAUAUUUCAUUGUCAGAGGUGAAAUUCUUGGAUCAAUGAAAGAUAAACUACUGCGAAAGCAUUUACCAAGGAUGUUUUCAUUAA
RNAcentral lists this ribosomal RNA (389 nucleotides) under uncultured eukaryote. RNAcentral's name for it is "partial 18S ribosomal RNA". It matches the Rfam family "Eukaryotic small subunit ribosomal RNA", at positions 592 to 976 of the family's 1831-position model. The record is from RNAcentral.